This is a non-coding RNA of Pelobates cultripes (western spadefoot toad), 444 nucleotides long. NCBI's taxonomy places the organism in Eukaryota, Metazoa, Chordata, Amphibia, Anura, Pelobatidae. The record is from the annotation of a GenBank genome assembly.
CUGCAGUCAAGCAAAACACUUUAUUGAGAUGAAGUGGCCUGGGUGACUGUACUGGUCUCUUAAACCGCCAACAUACAGUCACUUGGUGACACUAUACUUCAGCCGUAAUCAAAAGGUUAAGUAAUUAAAAAAAAAUAUAUAUAUAUUUAUAUAAAAGAAAAAAAUGUAUAUCCACGAAGUCCACUCAGUCACCCACCCCAGCCCUUAACCAUAGCAGCAAUUAGUACAUUUCCUAAAAUGGGAAACACCGGCCUACCCACAUAACUUACAAGGACCCCAGAGCAGAAGACUUAAAUACCAGGUGAAGGGAAGUCCGUGUGCUCCAGUCAAGUUAUGGAGUACUAACGCGUUAAAUCGCUACAGAGUCUUGAAGACUCAAGUCCCUUUAUGUCACACUUUUCAGUUAUUCUGUAAUCUGUAUUCCAUGUACCAUUUACAUAAACU